UACGAAGGGGGCUAGCGUUGCUCGGAAUCACUGGGCGUAAAGCGCACGUAGGCGGUUCCUUAAGUCGGGGGUGAAAUCCUGGAGCUCAACUCCAGAACUGCCUUCGAUACUGAGGAUCUCGAGUCCGGGAGAGGUGAGUGGAACUCCGAGUGUAGAGGUGAAAUUCGUAGAUAUUCGGAAGAACACCAGUGGCGAAGGCGGCUCACUGGCCCGGUACUGACGCUGAGGUGCGAAAGCGUGGGGAGCAAACAGG
Molecule: ribosomal RNA, 253 nt
Filed under: uncultured bacterium
Lineage: Bacteria
Description: partial 16S ribosomal RNA
Rfam family: Bacterial small subunit ribosomal RNA
Source: RNAcentral